This is a long non-coding RNA of Gallus gallus (chicken), 6460 nucleotides long. RefSeq lists it as uncharacterized. The record is from RefSeq and is a predicted model, not a curated record. The transcript has 3 exons. Lineage: Eukaryota; Metazoa; Chordata; Aves; Galliformes; Phasianidae.
GGGCAGCGGCGCCGGGAAACGGGCGGCGUCGGGGCGCCUCGUGUACGGGGAGAGCUGCGGAGAACGGGGCGCUCCGCGCUUUCCUCCACCCCUGCCUCCUCAGCCGCUCUGCGCUGAGGAGAAGCGGUCUCCUGGAGGCGACCCCGGCCGCCCCCACCGCUACGCGCUCUCUGUCCGCUCCGCGGGCACCGCGCUCCGUACGGCUCCGGGCAGCGCCCGAGCGAGGGCAGAGCCGCCCGGCCCCCGCAUCGCCUCUGCGGCGGCCAGAGGGCCCGAGCCGGACCUGCGGCUCCCGAGCCUGCAGCCUCACACCACCUCUGCUCCACCUGCAGCCUUCAGGUGUGAAUUAUCCCCAGUACGGCACGCAGCGAGGUCUGUGGGACUGCACGGUGCCAAGGAGCGCUGCUGCUACUGUGAAAACGAGUUUUCUCCUGAUGUUCUACGGUGGAGCUGCAAACAAACAAACAGAACAAACCCCACACGGCAGGAACUGAAAAACCACACGUUUUGGCCUUAUUUAAAACCAAAUCAGGAAAACCAAUCCUACCAGAGCUCUGCCCUGGGCCUCUAGUUCUGCCUCUCCUGUCCAAGAGCCGCCCGCAUCUGUGGGUAUCGGCCACACACACACCAGCCCUCAGUGUGCCAGCGAGCCCCCUGCUCUGCAGAUGCUGUGUGCCUGCAAGUGGAAGCACCGCAGUGCUGCUGACCAUGGGAGAAUCUCAUUGGUAAAGUUUAGCUCUCCUGAAGUGUUUUCCAGGGUUGAACCCUCAGACAACGAACCCUUCCAAGGAAUAACUUCAUCUCCAGGCCACGCAGAGAGCUUGCUGCCAGCGCUAAACCAGCAGACAAAGCACCCGUUAAUUAACAGAGGAUCUCAGAUGGCUUUUCAGAGGUCCAUUUCAUGCAGAGCAGCACUUCUGUCCAGUGCAGCAGUUGUUGUGAUGCCAAAAAGCACACCUUACAGCUGACGUACCCGGCCCCUUCCCUGGCCAUGGCUGCCCCACAGCCUGCCCUGCCCCCCUGCUGCUUGGAGCUUCCUCCCCCUGUGGGUGGGUCAGGGCUGGAGAGCACAGCCUGCAGGCUUUGGGGCACCCCGUUAAGCAGACAGAGGAGGAUUUCAGUUUCUGAGACCGCCUUUAAGGUUCUCUUCCAACUCCCUUGACAGCAGUUAAUAGACGGGUGCUUAGGGCCAGAGCUACGCAGCCGAUCCCUCCUCCCCACCUUGGAGAUCUGUGAUGUUCCAUACUUAAAGAAAUAAAUACCUCGGCGGUGGGAGACUAUUAAAAUUUAAAAUGGGAAGGAAUUUCUAAGUGCAACAUCAGAAUCAUUUGUCAGCUCAAAAUAAAGGACGGAUCUGAAAUCACAAGGAGGAAAAAAACCCGUGCCUCAACUUCACAUAAAUUCGUAAUGAAAUAAUUUAACUCAGAAGGCAGGGGAAUUGCUGUUUGAUUUCCACUACUUACAUUUCACACUGUCCUUUCAAGAUACAGAGGUUAUUAAAAAUAUAUAUUUAACGACUCGACUUGAAAGGCUCCUAAAGGACGCCAUAAAAAGCCAGGCGGCUCAUUAAAUAGGGAUCGCAUUUUGAAAGAUGUAAACAGAAGGGACACCACGACCUGCUUCAGGCAUCUGCCUCCCACCUCAGCCCCUGGGCGUCGCAGGGCAAGGGCUGGUUUGCAGAGCACAACCCUGGAAAAGCCAGCCCGUGCUUCACCACCAGCAUCACCUCGAUAGCCACAGGCUGCAAGCAGCUGUGAUACACAGGAGCUCCAAAUCAACACAGCCCCCUCUCCUGGGUUUAACUUACAGCAUAGCUUGGUGCAGGCAAAAGGGAAAACCAGCUGCAAGCUCAACCUUUCCAGGCAGCUUCCCAAACAAACAAACAAUCCACUGCAGUAACCAAAGAGGGGCAUGCGGUAACUGACGGCUUUGUGAGAUGAAAAUCCUCCCUGGCCUGUUUCUGGGAGAGAAUGCAGGCGCUCUGAUAAUACCAGGCAGGGAAUGUCACCGCCUCAGGCCACACAGGAAGGCUCUGGGAGCUGUCAGCUCUGCUCUGCAUCUGGCUAGCACUGCAGCAACGGGCAUCCAGCACACGUGGGUUGUGUGCACACGUGGGGCACACCUGGUGACAACGUGCAAUGGGCAAAUGAGCCGAAUUAAGUGUUUUUAAUCAUAUCAUAGAAUCACAGCAUGGCCUGGGUUGAAAAGGACCACAGUGCUCAUCCGGUUCCAACCCCCUGAUGUGUGCAGGGUCACCAACCAGCAGACCAGGCUGCCCAGAGCCACAUCCAGCCUGGCCUUGAUCAAUGGUGUCAGCUGCUGCAUUAUCCAUCUUGCUUGUAUUGUUCAAUUUGGUUAUGAUAUUCAUCUUCAGAGAGUGGCAAAUAGGUAUUUUUGAGCAGCCUGCUCUCCACUUGUAUGGGGUUUUAUUAUGGUGCAUUGCAAUCUCUAUUAGCACGUGGGCUAUUCCCCAGUGAGGACUGCUGUCCUCUGGUGAUCUCAGCAGGACUGCUGUGAAUUAGGUUUCCUGUGGACUUACUGCAAUAUCGCAUGCAGGGAGCAUUCAUCAUCCUUUGAUCUCAGGCCACAGCUCUGCACGUCCCCAUGGGCACCGCCUUUGAACAAGAUGCAGACAGACGAUCACAAAACAAUCUGGUUUCCAUAGGACCCACCUAAUGUGUCUGCUGAGGAUGUGUAACGAGUCCAUACAGCUCAACAGUGAAGGCAUUGGACUGAGGGCCAUGUGUUGUUAUUGGUUAAUUAAACGACUCCUCCUCCUAAGGACUUAUUACAGGCUUCAUUAGAAGCGUGCAGGUAAAAGGACAGGCUCAGUGCUAAUUAAGCUGCUCCCGGUGCUUUGAACCAACGUUAGCAGGCAAUGGAGAGGAAGGGAAGUCAGAAUAGCCGAGCAUCCCACAGACCUCUCAAAGAAUGGGUUCCCUCCAAGUCCUCCAAUGCCAUUUGGGAUUAUCCACAUUCCCUUUUCUUCUGAUUAGAACCGACCCUUUUGGAAGCACAAAGAAAAAAGGACAAAUCCUGUGUGAGACACACAUCCAUACAGGUCCAGUAUUAAUUGCCCAGUCAUUUCUGAGCUAUUCAAACGUGGGAGUGAUGGUUUUCCCAGAGCAUGAAUUUUGUACAGAACCUCUGGAAAUUGUGUGCGAAGCCCAACCAAAUGAUUACACAAUCCAAUGGCAGCACUUGCACCGUUCUUUGAGGAGACGUAGCAACAAACUAUUUGCUAUUUGAAUACACGCACAGUAACCGGAUUGCCAAACCAAGUAAAUACCUCAGCACUGCAGCGUGCAGAGCCAGAAUCAAAGUCAGUAACUUCUGUCCCCUUUGUACUUACUUUCGCUGUGGGUUGUGCUGCUGCUAGGGCAGUGUGCCUGGUGCUGCAGGGCAGCACACCUCCACACCCUCCCCCUGCUGCGGAGCUGAGGACGGACACGAGGCUGCAUGAGAUGGGAGGAGAUGCGCCCCGAUGCAACAAACCCAAACACUGCCUCCAUAAGGAUGGACUGAAGUUCUAUAAAGGCUCUUUUACUCCAACGGUAAGGUUACAGGGCUGGACUCGUGGCAUUACUACAGAGAUUGAACCCACUCCUUCUAGCAUCUUUCAGCACACAACACCUCCAGUAUUUAUCAGUGUAUUUCAUCCAAAAUGUAAGCAUUGGGUUUGACCUUUCAGUGCCUGAAUUUCGGGUCCUGAUGAAAGAAAUUCCUCUCCCCACGUGUUGUUCUUGCUGAAAUCAGCACAACAGCCCAAGUACACAUUUCUUUAAUAUAAAGGAGGGGGGCUGUCAGCAUUCUCCAGCAAUCCACCAAAGGCUGGACUUGCUUCCAUGGCACAGAAGGAGGCCAGCUCCUCACUCUUCUAUGCUAUUUAGCAUAGCCCAGUUCUUCAUCCUUCUCCCUCUACAGCAAUCUAUUUUUUCCUCUCUAUUUCUCUGUUUUAUAAUACAGAUUAGAUAAGCACAUGGUUGUAGCAACAACAGCUUCUGCCUUGGGGUGGAAGUAUGAACAAGACAACCUCUUGAGAUCCCACUAACCUCCUUUUCUAACAUCUCAUGAGCAAUGAGAACUGGAUGGCAUCUGUGAUGUUUCACAGUCUUAGAGACAGCAGAUAAAUAAGGAUGUAUUUAUGCUUCAAAAGAAAGAAGCACUGUGGCGUUUGGGGUAUGUCCUGGUGCAGAGGAUCCUGUGCAUUUAAAGGUUUAAUUCAAAGAGAGACCUGGAUGGUAUGCUUUAAUUCCUUGAAUUUCAAGUGAUAAAUUAGCCUGGUAGGGUCUAAUUUGACAGUUCUGGAGGAAGUGAGGUGCCACCUAUACUGAAACACAUUUAUCUAGCACUGUUAUGUAAAGGCUGCUAUAAUUAAAGACAGUGUGAAGACUUCAUUGCCACUUUCUCUCGGUUUAAAGCACCUACAAUGAGAGAGGUAACCUGACUACAUCUGUAGGUAUCCUCCCUAUUUAACCAGAGCGUGUCUGAUAAAGAGGAGUGGAUUAUCUCCACCUCCUGAGGCAGGUAUCAAUGUCCUCUCAGGUUUUCAUAGCUCGAGACAGCCCUACUGUAAUUAUGGCUUCCACUGGUGCACAGAAACGAGCGUGGCAAAUCUGAAAUGACCUGCAGUAUAUUGCAAGACACAGCCGAUGGCAUUGCCACUGCAUUAACAGGGGUCUCCCUCUCAAGAACUCAGGACUUGCAUUGCAGAACCUGUGUGGAUCUGUGGGCUCUGAGCAGGCUCAGCAAUCUCCCUCCAGCAACAUCCAUCCAUCAGCAGCACGCAGCAUCCACCAGGCCGAAAUACCAACUGCCUCCACCAACCUGAAAUGACAGUGCCUUAUGGCUGGGGCUGUGCUGUGGCUCUUUGUUGGAAGGAAGAUGCAGGGAUUGUUUUCAGAGGAGAUGCACAUUUAUAUCUUCCAUGCCAAAAAGCAUCCCGGCCAGAGGAUUAAGCAUUUGUUCUGUUUCUUAUUUUAAGCUCCUCUUCUCUUCUUAUGAAUGUUAAUCAAUCUCCUUAACUGCCAUAAGUGCUGAUGCUGAGCAUCGCUGAAUACCACUUUAGCCUGCAACUGAUGAAAUUAUGGGAAACUAUCAAUAAAAGCCAAUUAGUAACCUUAUGGGAAGCUGGUGCUACUUUACCCAAGUAGCUGAAGUUACCCCUGCGUUCUGGAAAGCCUCAUCAGCGCUGAGACACCGCCCUGCAUGCCAAAAGAGCAGCAGUUCCCACCUGGGCCGGGGAAGGAACGCCCCACUGCUGUGGGAGGCUGCAGGGCAACGUGCUGUUCACAUCCUCCAACACGUGUGCAGCCCAGAAAGCUCCCAGACACUGCACAUUUCCCAAAGGCAUUCAAAAACUUGCAGUUCUCACAGUAAGCGUUCACACAGAUGUGACUGAAAGAUAUUUCUCAUAAACCACAAGUACCCUGUAAUAACUCCUGAGGGAAAACGAGGCCCAGGCUGAGCAGUUGGAGGUGGACAAGGAUGGCCCCGCCAGCUAAAAACGAACCACCGAUGUCUGCAAAAAGCAUCACUUCACUGCAGAAUUUUCCAUUUAAAAAACCCUACAGUUCCUGUUUUGCAUUUAGACCAAGGGUGUAUAAAAAGCAGCCAGCCAAAGAGCUUUCAGGCCUAGAGCUAAGGAGCACUUCUGUUGUUCUUGCUAGGAGGUUAAAGGGAAAAACAAGGAAAUAAAGCCAAGCAAACUGACAUAACCUUAUCUGUACUUUGCUGCUUCUCCUUGGGAUUUGACAGGGAUGGCUUGAUUAGCCUGUUGAUUUUACUGCAUCUCCUUAUGCUUUAUAAUCCCAUUACCAUACUGCAAGACAGCACUUUGAAUUUCAUGGCAAGGGACUGUGGGGAGCUUCAGUUUGUUUCAGCAGAUUUCCAUGACACCCAUCCAAAUGGAGAAGCUGAUGCAGAAACAACUGAUCAAUGAACAGGCAGCCACUUAUCCAACCCAACGUCUUUAAAUAUUUAGUCAGGACCGCUGAGAACAGAGUGGAGAAAAGCAAAGAUUCAAGGAUUUUACUGCCUAUUUAAGCAAGAGGAGCCCUUGCCUGUACAGUCUCUGAGAGUUCAGCUCAUCCGCCCAAUGAAAUGAUCGAUUUGGGAUACUCUCAUCAUCCUAAAGCAGAACAUAAAGUCUGUGUGAGAAGCCUUGAAAAUGAUGGCUGCUCAUCACCACCAUGGGACUCUCCUGGAACGCAUAAGCCAGUACAAGAAUCCUAAAGCAUAUUCCUAACACGCUUUGUUUUGAGAGGCGCAGAGCAGCCACACAGCCCCUCUCUCUCCCAGCCCACCCCCCUGGGCAGGGUCAGUCUGCACGGCCGUCCCAGGUUGGUGUGACCUGAGCCCAGCGGUGCUCAGCACCAGCAAAGAAGGCAGACAGAACCCAGGAUGUGGGGUCAUCUGCAUGCAGGGCCACAAACACCUGCAGCUCUCCCUUCAUCGGUGA